This is a regulatory RNA element of Halobacteroides halobius DSM 5150, 136 nucleotides long. It matches the Rfam family "PyrR binding site". From Rfam's summary of the family: This family represents the PyrR binding site and terminator structure. This RNA structure is found upstream of a variety of genes involved in pyrimidine biosynthesis and transport. The alignment also includes a portion of the antiterminator structure. NCBI's taxonomy places the organism in Bacteria, Bacillati, Bacillota, Clostridia, Halanaerobiales, Halobacteroidaceae. The record is from Rfam.
AGUCCCUUUUAAAUUAGUCCUGUGAGGCUAAGAAGGGGAGUAAACUACUUUAGUAAAUAAACUUGUUGAUUUUAUAAAUUAUUUAAGUAGUCAAUUACUACCUCCUUAGCCUAAUUAGGCUAAGGAGGUUUUUUGU